GAUGAACGCUGGCGGCGUGCCUAAUACAUGCAAGUCGAGCGAACAGACGAGGAGCUUGCUCCUCUGACGUUAGCGGCGGACGGGUGAGUAACACGUGGAUAACCUACCUAUAAGACUGGGAUAACUUCGGGAAACCGGAGCUAAUACCGGAUAAUAUAUUGAACCGCAUGGUUCAAUAGUGAAAGACGGUUUUGCUGUCACUUAUAGAUGGAUCCGCGCCGCAUUAGCUAGUUGGUAAGGUAACGGCUUACCAAGGCAACGAUGCGUAGCCGACCUGAGAGGGGGAUAGGCCACACUGGAACUGAGACACGGUCCAGACUCCUACGGGAGGCAGCAGUAGGGAAUCGUCCGCAAUGGGCGAAAGCCUGACGGAGCAACGCCGCGUGAGUGAUGAAGGUCUUCGGAUCGUAAAACUCUGUUAUUAGGGAAGAACAAAUGUGUAAGUAACUAUGCACGUCUUGACGGUACCUAAUCAGAAAGCAACGGCUAACUACGUG
RNAcentral lists this ribosomal RNA (497 nucleotides) under uncultured bacterium. Its description in RNAcentral is "partial 16S ribosomal RNA". It matches the Rfam family "Bacterial small subunit ribosomal RNA", at positions 28 to 507 of the family's 1533-position model. The record is from RNAcentral.